RNAcentral lists this ribosomal RNA (496 nucleotides) under uncultured bacterium. RNAcentral describes it as "partial 16S ribosomal RNA". It matches the Rfam family "Bacterial small subunit ribosomal RNA", at positions 29 to 507 of the family's 1533-position model. The record is from RNAcentral.
AUGAACGCUGGCGGCGUGCCUAAUACAUGCAAGUCGAGCGAACGGACGAGAAGCUUGCUUUUCUGAUGUUAGCGGCGGACGGGUGAGUAGCACGUGGAUAACCUACCUAUAAGACUGGGAUAACUUCGGGAAACCGGAGCUAAUACCGGAUAAUAUUUUGAACCGCAUGGUUCAAAAGUGAAAGACGGUCUUGCUGUCACUUAUAGAUGGAUCCGCGCUGCAUUAGCUAGUUGGUAAGGUAACGGCUUACCAAGGCAACGAUGCAUAGCCGACCUGAGAGGGUGAUCGGCCACACUGGAACUGAGACACGGUCCAGACUCCUACGGGAGGCAGCAGUAGGGAAUCUUCCGCAAUGGGCGAAAGCCUGACGGAGCAACGCCGCGUGAGUGAUGAAGGUCUUCGGAUCGUAAAACUCUGUUAUUAGGGAAGAACAUAUGUGUAAGUAACUGUGCACAUCUUGACGGUACCUAAUCAGAAAGCCACGGCUAACUACGUG